GAGUUUGAUCAUGGCUCAGAUUGAACGCUGGCGGCAUGCCUAACACAUGCAAGUCGAACGAUGAAGUCUAGCUUGCUAGACGGAUUAGUGGCGGACGGGUGAGUAAUGUAUAGGGAUCUGCCUAGUAGUGGGGGACAACAGCCGGAAACGGCUGCUAAUACCGCAUACGCUCUACGGAGGAAAGCGGGGGCUCUUCGGACCUCGUGCUAUUAGAUGAACCUAUAUCAGAUUAGCUAGUUGGUGGGGUAAAGGCCUACCAAGGCGACGAUCUGUAGCUGGUCUGAGAGGAUGAUCAGCCACACUGGGACUGAGACACGGCCCAGACUCCUACGGGAGGCAGCAGUGGGGAAUAUUGGACAAUGGGGGCAACCCUGAUCCAGCAAUGCCGCGUGUGUGAAGAAGGCUUUCGGGUUGUAAAGCACUUUCAAUAGGGAGGAAAGGUUGUAAGUUAAUACCUUGCAACUGUGACGUUACCUAUAGAAGAAGCACCGGCUAACUCCGUGCCAGCAGCCGCGGUAAUACGGAGGGUGCAAGCGUUAAUCGGAAUUACUGGGCGUAAAGCGCGCGUAGGCGGUUAUUUAAGUCAGAUGUGAAAUCCCCGGGCUCAACCUGGGAAUUGCAUUUGAUACUGGAUGGCUAGAGUGUGGUAGAGGUGAGUGGAAUUUCAGGUGUAGCGGUGAAAUGCGUAGAGAUCUGAAGGAACAUCAGUGGCGAAGGCGACUCACUGGGCCAUUACUGACGCUGAGGUGCGAAAGCGUGGGUAGCAAACAGGAUUAGAUACCCUGGUAGUCCACGCCCUAAACGAUGUCAACUAGGUGUAUGGAGAAUUUAUUCUUUGUGUAUCGAAGCUAACGCGAUAAGUUGACCGCCUGGGGAGUACGGUCGCAAGACUAAAACUCAAAUGAAUUGACGGGGGCCCGCACAAGCGGUGGAGCAUGUGGUUUAAUUCGAUGCAACGCGAAGAACCUUACCUGGCCUUGACAUGUAGCGAACUUUCCAGAGAUGGAUUGGUGCCUUCGGGAACGCUAACACAGGUGCUGCAUGGCUGUCGUCAGC
RNAcentral lists this ribosomal RNA (1056 nucleotides) under uncultured bacterium. RNAcentral's name for it is "bacterial SSU rRNA". It matches the Rfam family "Bacterial small subunit ribosomal RNA", at positions 9 to 1059 of the family's 1533-position model. The record is from RNAcentral.